AUACGGAGGGGGCUAGCGUUGUUCGGAAUUACUGGGCGUAAAGCGCGCGUAGGCGGGUUGGCAAGUUGAAGGUGAAAUCCCAGGGCUCAACCCUGGAACUGCCUCCAAAACUGCCAGUCUUGAGUUCGGAAGAGGUGAGUGGAAUUCCUAGUGUAGAGGUGAAAUUCGUAGAUAUUAGGAAGAACACCAGUGGCGAAGGCGACUCACUGGUCCGAUACUGACGCUGAGGUGCGAAAGCGUGGGGAGCAAACAGGAUUAGAUACCCGGGUAGUCC
RNAcentral lists this ribosomal RNA (274 nucleotides) under uncultured bacterium. RNAcentral's name for it is "partial 16S ribosomal RNA". It matches the Rfam family "Bacterial small subunit ribosomal RNA", at positions 523 to 796 of the family's 1533-position model. The record is from RNAcentral.